Long non-coding RNA from Salvia splendens (bonfire salvia), 1724 nucleotides. RefSeq lists it as uncharacterized. The transcript has 2 exons. The record is from RefSeq and is a predicted model, not a curated record. NCBI's taxonomy places the organism in Eukaryota, Viridiplantae, Streptophyta, Magnoliopsida, Lamiales, Lamiaceae.
UCAUAACACCAACACAAAUUCUGCAUUUUUAAGCAUCACACACACCGCCCUCCGCCGGCGACUACCUUCCUCCGUCACAUGUGGCACCCCCUCCUUGUCUCUAUCUGUCUCAACACCUCUCUCUCCAUCUACACACCCACACAUACUUUUCAUCCCUCUGUACAACGUCUGUCUGGCCGCCGCCGUCGACGAACUCCGGCAUCUCUACGAUAUCUUUGGAUGUAAUUCUUCCCGGAGAGAUAACACGGGCAACAAGAAGGCGAAGGAUAAGUGAUUCCUAGUAAGGCAUUUUGGGUUUAAAGGUGGCAGAAAAAGGUGUUUCCAUCGGUGAAUGUGCGUAUGAAUCGUUUAUGUCACUCUACAACAAGAACGGAGAAUUCACAAUUUCACAUACAAGAAGACUAAGAGGUAUAUAAUUUACAGUUUUGAUUUCAAGUGAUGGGAGAAAUUAAUAUUUGAGAACUUUGAAAAUGUCUCUGGUAGGUGUCUGCGUUUUCAUGUUUUGUGUCACGGCCGCAUUUUCUAAGAACAGAAAAACGGUUGAAUCGCGACUAGUGGGGGAUUAAAGAAACGGGAAAGAAAGGGGAAAACAACACAACACCACCAUUGCUCGAAAUAAAUGAGAAUAGCUCGAAUAAAAUCAAAGUAUCAUUUCGACAAUCAACAACUCAAAAUGAAUAUUAUCUCAACAAUACUUGAAAUCAAAAGAAACAACAUUCAGCGGAAGCUUUCGAUAGAAGAAUAAUAUUAUGUAUGAGGACAUAAUAUAUUCAUAACAUUUUAUUUGCCAUCUUCUUCACUUUUAUGCCCAACACCCUCCGCGCUCGUCACAACUCAACCUGCACAUUUUUAUAACAUAUGCAGGGCUGAGUACUUGAUGCACUCUGGGGACUCAUACCGAAAACAUUUUAUAAAAAUUAUUUAUCAUGUCAUAAACGAGUGGCCUUGGGGUUUUUAACUUUGAAAAGGCCCGAGUCACUAAAACAUUUCAACGUACCAUCCAUCAACACCACCAUCGUCACAUACCUUUUUAAAAUAACAUAACAAGCAAGUUAAAUGAUGCGAAUCAAAUUGUACAUUUUUAUUCCCCUAACUUUACAUGAUUUAUAUUGUUUGAUACUUGCAAAAGUAUGUUUUAAGGUGUAGGAAUGAAGCUCGGAUGGUGAAAAAGUUGUGCAAGACUGCCCAAUAUGACAGAAUGCCCAGUUUGCGUCGUGAGUCCAGAAAGCUCUCAAAAUGAGGCACCGGGCCGGGUGUAUUUUAUGCCUAAUAAAAUACCUGGCCGGGUAUGAUGUUAGAACACGAAAUUUCGAGCAAUUCCUCAAAAUUGGUCACCCGGCCGGAUGAAUUUUAUGCCCAAUAAUCCACCCGGCCGGGUGGAUCAAUUAUAACUGCAAUAUUGCAGUUAAAGGUGGCAGGAUUGGCAGGAUUAAAGGAGGGAAGAGAGAGAGAGUGAUGGGACGUUAUUUUUGGGGAGCAGGUGAGAAAAAAAGAAGAGAGGGGAGAAAAGGUGACGACUUGGACGAAAAUUGCAGAGGAAGGAAGGGAGAUCCAAUCUUCAUCAUCCUGGAGGAGAUUUGCUACCAUCUACACAUCAAUUUCAUGAGUUCUUCUUGUUUAUUGGUUGUUGAUGUGUAACUAAAUUCUCACGUUGCUCCUAAUUUGUGAAAGAUGUGAAUUACUUUAGGAUUCUAUGGAUUAAUAAUAUUCUAUGAUCUUUUCUA